RNAcentral lists this ribosomal RNA (446 nucleotides) under uncultured bacterium. RNAcentral's name for it is "partial 16S ribosomal RNA". It matches the Rfam family "Bacterial small subunit ribosomal RNA", at positions 338 to 795 of the family's 1533-position model. The record is from RNAcentral.
CCUACGGGAGGCUGCAGUCGAGAAUCAUUCACAAUGGGGGAAACUCUGAUGCUGCGACGCCGCGUGGGGGAAGGAGGGUCUUCGGAUUUAAAACGCCUUUCAUAGGGGAGCAAAUUAAAAGUAUAGUACCACAAGAGGAAGACACGGCUAACUCCGUGCCCGCAGCUAAGGUAAUACGGAGGUCCCAAGCGUUGUUCGGAAUGAUUGGGGGUAAAGCGUGCGGAGGCGGUGACGUAAGUGUGGUGUGAAACGCCCGGGCUUAACCCGCGAACGGCAACUGAUACUGCGAGACUAGAGUAAUGGAGGGGAAAGCGGAAUUCUCGGUGUAGCAGUGAAAUGCGUAGAUAUCGGGAGGAACACUCGUGGCGAAGGCGAGUUCCUGGACAUUAACUGACGCUGAGGCACGAAGGCGAGGGGAGCGAAAGGGAUUAGAUACCCCAGUAGUC